AAGAAGCAAGGGAUGAAGGAGAAGUAAAUACCCGGAAAACCCCGAAAAAACAGAUUGAAUACCAGGAAAGAUCAGAUGCGGAUAAAAAAAAGUCUGUUUGAAAGGGGAGAAACGAAAGACGAAAUUUCCUAAGAGAAGAAGAAUCGGGUCGACAUAAACACUUUUUCGGUUAAAAUAGUAUAAUGAGAAAGCAUCUGUUCACGUUCAUAGUUGCAAUAACUUUUCUUUUUUCAAUCUAGAUUUUGAGCCAAUCCGGUAUCGUAUCACCGCCUGACAAGUUUGACAGGCUUUCCAUGUGCUUUGGGAUGCCUUUUGAUCCGGGUCUCCGGUAGGAGAGAGGGUAGAAGAAUCAAU
This 354-nucleotide long non-coding RNA is filed under the name Gossypium barbadense (sea-island cotton). RNAcentral describes it as "long non-coding RNA (GBAR_LNC008151)". Lineage: Eukaryota; Viridiplantae; Streptophyta; Magnoliopsida; Malvales; Malvaceae. The record is from RNAcentral.